GGGUUGUGAGGUUAAGCGACUAAGCGUACACGGUGGAUGCCCUGGCAGUCAGAGGCGAUGAAGGACGUGCUAAUCUGCGAAAAGCGUCGGUAAGGUGAUAUGAACCGUUAUAACCGGCGAUGUCCGAAUGGGGAAAC
This 137-nucleotide ribosomal RNA is filed under the name Klebsiella pneumoniae. RNAcentral describes it as "partial 23S ribosomal RNA". It matches the Rfam family "Bacterial large subunit ribosomal RNA", at positions 1 to 127 of the family's 2925-position model. Lineage: Bacteria; Pseudomonadati; Pseudomonadota; Gammaproteobacteria; Enterobacterales; Enterobacteriaceae. The record is from RNAcentral.